This 495-nucleotide ribosomal RNA is filed under the name uncultured bacterium. RNAcentral describes it as "bacterial SSU rRNA". It matches the Rfam family "Bacterial small subunit ribosomal RNA", at positions 28 to 479 of the family's 1533-position model. The record is from RNAcentral.
GACGAACGCUGGCGGCGUGCCUAAUACAUGCAAGUCGAACGGACCUUGCUUGGACGGAGUGGAGUACUUGUACAAAGCGAAGACUGAGCGCUGGUUAGUGGCGAACGGGUGAGUAACACGUAGGUAACCUACCGAUAAGACGAGGACAACUCAUGGAAACGUGAGCUAAUACUGGAUGUGGUGUAUGGAAGGCAUCUUCUAUAUAUUAAAGGAGCUUUUGGCUUCACUUAUUGAUGGACCUGCGGCGUAUUAGCUAGUUGGUAGGAUAGCAGCCUACCAAGGCAAUGAUACGUAGCCGAUCUGAGAGGAUAAACGGCCACACUGGGACUGAGAUACGGCCCAGACUCCUACGGGAGGCAGCAGUAGGGAAUUUUCCACAAUGGACGAAAGUCUGAUGGAGCAACGCCGCGUGUGUGAAGAAGGUUUUCGGAUUGUAAAGCACUGUUGUAUGGGAAGAAUAAGGUGAGAAGGAAAUGGCUCAUCGAUGACGGUACC